Gossypium raimondii (Peruvian cotton) is the source of this 1260-nucleotide long non-coding RNA. RefSeq lists it as uncharacterized. The transcript is spliced from 3 exons. The record is from RefSeq and is a predicted model, not a curated record. Lineage: Eukaryota; Viridiplantae; Streptophyta; Magnoliopsida; Malvales; Malvaceae.
UCCAUGGAACAGCAUCAAAUGCAGCAUACUUAUCAUACUCACCUUCCAAAAUUUGCAAUUCAACAAUGGAAAUGUCAUUUUCCAUCCCUCUCCCUCUUCCCACCAUCCCUCCCCUAUCAUAAGGCCCUUUAUUUUUUUGCAGACCUCCCCACCUUGCCCUCUCCCCCUCUUCCCCCUAUUCCUUCUUCACCAUCAUCCCCACCAUCAUCACCACCGUCGACGCUGUUACUACUCUGUUCCUUACAUCAGAUUGGUGCAGUGACAUUUGUGGCUUAUGAGUUUACAUCAGAUUGGUUAGAGUACAUUUUACUUCAACCUAACCCAGAUUUCCAUUUUUAUUUUCCUUCUCAUCUAUUACAUGAUUCAUUCUUUUUCAUUUUUGGCCUUUCUAAAGCAGUGAAAAUAAACAUAAGCUGGAAGCAAUUAUCAUAAUGCGAAAUCGCGUUGCGCCGAUUAUUAGUUUAAAUGCAAGCUUCCAACUUGCUUUAAAAAGGCCACUCUACUUCCACCAAGAUCUAGUCUAUACAUAUUCUUCCCCUGUUUUGUUCUUAAAAUAGUUCACUUUCCAAUGAGUUUCAAACUAGCAGGGUAUAAAAGGGAAAUGGAGAAACCCUUCAUUCUUCAUUUUGUUUUUGGUGUUUUGUCUAUUUUGGGCAUUUCUUUGAUGAAUGUUGAAUACCCUUACUUAUAUUUCGCCUGGACUCUUACUUAUGGUACCCGUUCUAUUCUUGGAGUUCCCCGGUUAUCCUUAUCAAUGGGCAGUUCCUUGGACCAAAACUUGAUGUAGUGACUAAUAACAGCAUUAUCUUGAAUCUCAUUAACAAGCUUGACCAGCCUUUCUUGUUGACAUGGUAUACACUCGUUCUUCUCAUUUUACACUUUGUUCUUUGCAUAUGAAUCUAGGAAAUGAUGGAAGCAUGAGUGAAGAAGAUGAACCAAGUUACAACGAAGAUGGAAAUGGUUAGAAGUGCAAAGGCAAGAAUGGAUGGCCAUGGAAGAGAAUGAAGGACAAUGUAGUUUGGCUUCUAAUAGCAGUGGUGGUGGGGAAGAUGGGGAGGGGGAGAGAAAAUCAAAGUAGGGGAGGGAUUGUGGGAAGAGGGAGGGAUAGAAAAUGGCAUUUCCAUUAAGUAUAUAACACUCAUGUAACGGAAAAUGGUUAGUGGUAACUAUUUUGUUAUAUUUCAAAAAUUGUGUGACUGAAUUGAAACUUAAGUAAAUGUUUUGUUAACUAUCCUAAAGUUGAAUGAUUGUUGAUAUAAU